GGAAACAGCUUCAGUCUCGCACAUCGGGCAAACUAACGAGCACCACUUAUUACUGAUGCUCGUUUGUUUAAAUUCUGUUUUCCAUGACUUGGACUGCAAAGCUUUCAAAGCUGCCAAAGUUGGAUUUACUUUUUUUUCCUCCCCCAUUUCAUUCAGUCCCAGUGGUGGUAUUUAGACCAAUUAUGUCUUUUAUUCUCCAACAAAUGAGCAGAUUAUAUUUUGUAUGUAUUACUCUUCUUGUCGGUUUUUAUUUACAGAUCCCGUGAAUAUGGAAAGUCUGUAAAUAAACACUCCGCCUGCAUCGAUUUCGCGGAGCCAGUUUUGCUUCAGAAUUCCUUCACGCAGAUCUGUGGAUACUGACCUGGAGGUCUGCAAGUUCCCGGCCUGAUUAACCCUUCCAGACCCGCGCAGGAGCAAAGGUUAACCAGGCUAAUCAACUUCAAGAGUCUGAUUGAAUUAGAUGACUGUGGAAUCGGGAUAGAAACGAAAUUGUACCACUUCAAAACACCCUGAGGAGAAACACUGGUCACUUGUUGACAGCCGAUAUACAGUUCAAACCGAGAUACACAUGACAGAUGUAAAUGACGGAGAAAUAACGGAGCCUCAAACAGGCAACAGGUGCAAAGUGCAAGGUUAAACAUUUUCAGCUUAUGGUCAGCAUUCAGAAUCCCUUAUACACAGAUAGUUUCAUCCUGCUUGAUACAGAUCACUUGAUUGAUGAUAUUGGUGCCUAAUACGUCAGAACAUUUUAAUCUUAAAAUUGCACAUUAUCAAUCAGUGCUCUUUUACGCUCUUGAAAUAGUUUAAUCUCGUGUUUCUUUAUCUCACUGAGACAUUGUGAUGCAGAUAUUAUGCAAAAAAAUGAGAAAAACACCUAAUCAAUCAUUUGUCUGCUUUUAAAAGUUGCUGCAUCAAUGUAGAAAAUGUCGGCUGAACAAACAAAACAUGACAUUUCAAAAAGUCCUUUUAGGAACAUAAACAAACAUUUUUAAUACAAGAAUAUCAUAAUAGUUAGAACUAAAAAUAAACCCACAAAAAAACAACAUAAACAUGGAUUUUCUUGCCCUAAUGAAGUAAUUUAUAUCUUUAUUUUGAAUAUUUCCACAGUUUACAUGUGGUUAUUUUCUAAUUUAGCUAAAAAAAAUAUAACACUACAAAGUAAAAAAUGCAUUCAACCAUUAUAAUUAAUACACUUUUAUGAUCAUUUGGUCUGAGUGUACACAUAUGCAGGUAGUUUAUCGCGUGAGAAAAAAAAUGUGCAUAGAUUUUUUUUAAAAGUGUAAGCAGAUACGUUCCUGAUUGAGUUCAUUCAACAGAUCACUUUCUGUCUGUCUGUCUGUGUGUGUGUGUGUGUGUCUGUCUGCCUGCUUGCCUGCCUGCCUGUCUGCCUGACCGCCUGCCUGUCUGCCUGACCGCCUGCCUGCCUGCCUGACCGCAUGCCUGCUUGUUCGCCUGCCUGCAUGCCCCAAGGGCCAAUUUCUAGAAAGGCAAUAGAUUCCACAUAGAUAACUGUGUUCAAUUUGCCAAUGACUGAUUAUAGUGCCAAUUUAAACAGAUAGGAAUCAAUUUGUCUCAAUGAUCACUCCUCAGGCUGACUGCCAGCAUGCUCUUAAUGCUUUUGCAAAUGCUCAUUGUUUAAAUCAUUGCUGUUGGGAUUGAAGUGAUCAAAACUGCUGAGAGAAAGAUGAGAGGUGUGAGCGGCGUGUUGGUUUGGCUGCUAAAGACUGCAUAGAUGGAGCAUGCAUGGCGGUUACUUCAGGCAGCAGCAUUGUUGCAGCAGUGGGUCAAUGGUUUAAUUCGGGGGACUCGCUAGGAAGGUCUGUGUAGGGGAAUUGUGAGAUAAGUGCUCUCUAACCCACAGAAACUGCUACUGAAGUACCCUUUGGCAAAGCAGCUUAAGUCCUAUUUGUCCCAGUGGAGCAGCACAGUGACCAUCAGGGCAAUGCUGCACUUGGACCAGGCACUUCUGUGUCUCUUUGAACCCUUGCUUUUCUUUAUAAAAGGGGAGAGCGGGGCGUCCACUCGCCUCACACUUCUUUUUUUUUUUUUUAUGCACUUGGAGUGAAAAAGUUUAGGAGAAGACGCCAGAGAGAAAGCAGCGGCUGCAUUCAUUCCUGAACCAGACAUGGCUCACAUGUGGCCCCACAGGCAGCAGACACAGUAUUGGAUUACUGUAACUCAAGGUGUAAUGUAGUAGCAGCGGGUAAAGUAUAAAACUACACAAGAGUAUAGACGCCUACUUCAGCUUUAGAUGACCUUUAUAGAAUUAUUCAGAAUCAAACCAAGUAGUUUAUUUUGUCAUACAACAAUUCUAACUGUCAUUAAAUAAUCAAUUUGACCUCUGCUUACUCAUCCUCACAUCUCCAGGUUUGACAAUUGUCACGAGUGUCUUCGUCUUUAUCGGUCAUUAUUGUGCGUCUUGUACACACAAAUACAGGUCAGUCUACUCAUGCUCAGAUUGUUGCACUUUUUCUUUGCAGUGUAGGAAAAAGAAGGUAUCCAUGAGUCUGUGUGGUACGUAUACAGCCGUGAAAUGAUCAUUUAAGUUUUAAAAGUUUGAAUUCUUACUGAAACAAUACUCUGUAUAAGUGUCCAUGCUACAUCUGCUGCCUCAACGACUAUUAAAGUCUGAAGAAAUGAGCUGCGUGUCGGCAGAUUUUCUCUUUAUUUACACCACAGUGCCUAACAUUUUUACAUAAACAAUUGAUUUAUCCUCUUUAAAACAAUAUUUCAUUGUGCAUUUCAGCUUACAAUGCUAUUGUUUUCAUAGGAAAAUGCAGCUUUGAUUAAGAGACAACACAUAUAAUUAGACGUUUUGAUCUCUGUUUAUUUCAGCUUCUGACUUCAUAGAUUUUUGAACUUGCACUGCAUGUGCUGUUCACAUAUUUCAAAAUAAAUCCUAAAGUAUCGUGUUUUAUUGUGACUUCAUAAUUGUUCAGACACAACUGAAGAAUAAAAAAAGUAUAUUUUGAGUGGAUCUGAAUUAUAUAGCGAAGAAGAAUGUGCGAGCUUGGAGCUUCAUGUGAGUCCCACCCCAACUAAACCAUGGCAAAAUCACUUGUAUGAGGCUGAGAAGUCCGUCCUGCAUGGAUGCUUUGUCAUAGGAAAACAUUUCUUUGCACAAGGGCUGUAGACAUUUUUGAAUAAAAUCUCUGAAAAUCCUAGACAUUGUUUCAUAUUAAAAUUGUUUAAGUCACAGAUUCAGGAUUUCUGAACAGAA
Cololabis saira (Pacific saury) is the source of this 3220-nucleotide long non-coding RNA. RefSeq lists it as uncharacterized. The record is from RefSeq and is a predicted model, not a curated record. Lineage: Eukaryota; Metazoa; Chordata; Actinopteri; Beloniformes; Belonidae. The transcript has 2 exons.